This 990-nucleotide long non-coding RNA is filed under the name Callithrix jacchus (white-tufted-ear marmoset). RNAcentral's name for it is "lncRNA (ENSCJAG00000081707.1)". The record is from RNAcentral. Lineage: Eukaryota; Metazoa; Chordata; Mammalia; Primates; Cebidae.
GUUCUCACGAAGUGAAAGCCAUUUGUACGACCUUAAGCAAGUCAAUACCGUCUCUUUGUAUUCCAGUUUUAUUAAAGUUAAUAAUAGCUCAUAUAAAUAACAUGUAUUGAAUUUGUAGUAUAUGGUGGGCACACACCGAAGAGGUAAUGGAAGAGACCUGAAUAAGGGUUCUAUUUACACAGGUGUGGGUCAGAUUAAGGGAUGUGAUGAAGUACUCCCAGCGCUAGCAAGAGUGGGAAACCACUCAUUCUGAAGGAGUGAAGGGAACUCGAGAGGAACCGGGACUUUAAGAGAGGGCUGCCUGACAGCAGGUUAGGGUGGUGCAGAAAGCCAGCACGUGAGGACUGUUGGCUCCUUAUCUUCCACAUUGAAGGGACUGAGAAAAGGCUCUGAGAACUUAAGAACCUCGACCAAGUCGCACAUCAGGUCUAAGAGCCAUUUGACAUUCUGGACCACGAUUUCCCACCCACACAGUCUGCCUGAUGCUUGUUAAUGACCCAUCACAAUGGUUUUGCUUCUCUGCUGCAUAGAUUCAGAGCAGGACCUGAUGACCUUCUUAAGAGCAGCCAGAGAAGCCUGAACUGCAUGAAGAUCAGGUUUUGGGGUACAUGUGAAGAACAUACAAGAUUGUUGCAUAGGUACACACAUGGCAGUGUGAUAUGCUGCCUUCCUCCCCAUCACCUGUAUCUGGCAUUUCUCCCCAUGCUAUCUCUCCCCAACUCCCCACCCCCCGCUGUACCUCCCCUAUUUCCCCCCGACAGACCCCAGUGUGUGAUGCUCCCCUCCCUGUGUCCAUAUGUUCUCAUUGUUCAACACCCGCCUAUGAGUGAGAACAUGCGAUGUUUGAUUUUCUGUCCUUGUGUCAGUUUGCUGAGAAUGAUGGUUAGGCGUUUCUUUAUAGCAAUGAGAGAGUGGCCUGAUACAAAGACGUUGUCGCUCAGAGGGAAUUUUGGUUACUCAUUUGUCCUCCUCCCCAAAUUCAUAUCCUGA